CCGGCGCUCGGCCGGCGGCAGGUCGUCGGCGGUCAGGUCGGCGAUGGUGGCGGCCAGGUCGUCGUCGGCCGGGUGGCCGCCGGCGGGCAGGUC
RNAcentral lists this transfer RNA (93 nucleotides) under Actinocatenispora thailandica. RNAcentral describes it as "tRNA-Leu". Lineage: Bacteria; Bacillati; Actinomycetota; Actinomycetes; Micromonosporales; Micromonosporaceae. The record is from RNAcentral.